Molecule: transfer RNA, 72 nt
Filed under: Ictidomys tridecemlineatus (thirteen-lined ground squirrel)
Lineage: Eukaryota; Metazoa; Chordata; Mammalia; Rodentia; Sciuridae
Description: Spermophilus tridecemlineatus (thirteen-lined ground squirrel) tRNA
Rfam family: tRNA
About the family: Transfer RNA (tRNA) molecules are approximately 80 nucleotides in length. Their secondary structure includes four short double-helical elements and three loops (D, anti-codon, and T loops).
Source: Rfam by way of RNAcentral
UGGGGUGUGACUCAGUAGUAGAGAGCUUGCCUAGCAUGCAUGAGGCACUGGGUUCGAUCCCCAGCACCACAU